Molecule: unclassified non-coding RNA, 329 nt
Filed under: soil metagenome
Description: partial contains 5.8S ribosomal RNA, internal transcribed spacer 2, and large subunit ribosomal RNA
Rfam family: 5.8S ribosomal RNA (bases 1-120)
Source: RNAcentral
GAUGAAGAACGUAGCGAAAUGCGAUAAGUAAUGUGAAUUGCAGAAUUCAGUGAAUCAUCGAAUCUUUGAACGCACAUUGCGCCCCUUGGUAUUCCGAGGGGCAUGCCUGUUCGAGCGUCAUUAUAACCCCUCAAGCUUAGCUUGGUGUUGGGGCCUGCUGUAAUAGAGCAGCCCUUAAAAUCAGUGGCGGUGCCAUUAGGCUCUAAGCGUAGUAAUUCUUCUCGCUAUAGGGUUCUGGUGGAUGCUUGCCAUUAACCUCUAAUUUUCUAUGGUUGACCUCGGAUCAGGUAGGGAUACCCGCUGAACUUAAGCAUAUCAAAAGCGGAGGA